AAAAAUGUUUGUAUUUUCUUGUUUUUCUGGGUGCAUAAUGAUGUGUGUGGACAAGAAAACAGGUGUUUUGAUUGCACUAAUUAUAUUUCAAAUUGUAAACCAGUGGAAAAUCUUGUUUUCAUCAAAAAUAAAACAGCAGAUGGGAGCAAAGUACAUCCAAUCGGGGACAGUAAGCCGGACGAUACUCUGGAUGAAUGCAUAGAUCCUAAAAUGAAAAUAACUGAUACUCUUUCAAAUGUUGUGUGCUUCCGGGCCAAAGAUAAAACAUGUGGCAUAGUAGGACCGUCCGUCAUUGUGUAUAAAAGUUUGAUCUGUUUUGAAUGUGAAUUAGCCUGCAAUUGCGAUAUAGAUUCAGGUGGUACCAGAGAGCAGGGAAUAUAUUUCAGAGUGUUUGCAAUUCUGAGUAUUGCUAG
Drosophila arizonae is the source of this 413-nucleotide long non-coding RNA. The record is from RefSeq and is a predicted model, not a curated record. NCBI's taxonomy places the organism in Eukaryota, Metazoa, Arthropoda, Insecta, Diptera, Drosophilidae.